AACGAACGCUGGCGGCAGGCUUAACACAUGCAAGUCGAACGGUUGUAGCAAUACAGCAGUGGCAGACGGGUGAGUAACACGUGGGAACCUUCCUAGGGGUACGGAACAACUCAGGGAAACUUGAGCUAAUACCGUAUACGUCCGUGAGGAGAAAGAUUUAUCGCCCUUAGACGGGCCCGCGUAGGAUUAGGUAGUUGGUGGGGUAAUGGCCUACCAAGCCUACGAUCCUUAGCUGAUCUGAGAGGAUGAUCAGCCACACUGGGACUGAGACACGGCCCAGACUCCUACGGGAGGCAGCAGUGGGGAAUCUUGGACAAUGGGCGCAAGCCUGAUCCAGCCAUGCCGCGUGAGUGAAGAAGGCC
Molecule: ribosomal RNA, 362 nt
Filed under: uncultured bacterium
Lineage: Bacteria
Description: bacterial SSU rRNA
Rfam family: Bacterial small subunit ribosomal RNA
Source: RNAcentral